GACGAACGCUGGCGGCGUGCUUAACACAUGCAAGUCGAACGGACAGGCCCUGCUUUUGUGGGGUGCUCGAGUGGCGAACGGGUGAGUAACACGUGAGUAACCUGCCCUUGACUUUGGGAUAACUUCAGGAAACUGGGGCUAAUACCGGAUAGGAGCUCCUGCUGCAUGGUGGGGGUUGGAAAGUUUCGGCGGUUGGGGAUGGACUCGCGGCUUAUCAGCUUGUUGGUGGGGUAGUGGCUUACCAAGGCUUUGACGGGUAGCCGGCCUGAGAGGGUGACCGGCCACAUGGGGACUGAGAUACGGCCCAGACUCCUACGGGAGGCAGCAGUGGGGAAUAUUGCACAAUGGGCGGAAGCCUGAUGCAGCAACGCCGCGUGCGGGAUGACGGCCUUCGGGUUGUAAACCGCUGUCGCCUGUGACGAAGCGUGAGUGACGGUAAUGGGUAAAGAAGCACCGGCUAACUACGUG
RNAcentral lists this ribosomal RNA (468 nucleotides) under uncultured bacterium. RNAcentral's name for it is "partial 16S ribosomal RNA". It matches the Rfam family "Bacterial small subunit ribosomal RNA", at positions 28 to 507 of the family's 1533-position model. The record is from RNAcentral.